UUCGGGCUUGAAUGGCUCGAAAGUUGAAAUUUCUCCCUCCUCUCGAUCUCUUCCCCUCUUAGCAGUUCAUUCGCGCCUCUCUCACCUCUCUCACUCUCCUUAACAGUUUCCUUUCGUCUCUCUCACCUCUCUCACUCUCAACAAACCUCUCUCUCACUCUUGCCUCAUCCCUCUCUCCUCUCUACCUCUUCACUCUCGCCUCUCUCACUUGUCUCUUGAAGGAGUUCGAACCACGACGGAGGACGGAGGACGACGAACCACGACGAACGGGAGCCUGCGACAGCGAAUCUGAGGCAAACCUGAAAUCGCAAAGUUGGGGUUUACGUUUGGCGUCAAUUUUUGUAGAAAUUAGUGAACUCUGUGUUCAAGAAUGAAAUCUGUGAUUUUCCUUCAAAGUUAGGGUUUGGGAUUUGCCCUUAUACUCUGUGUUCAAGAAUGAAAUUUGUGAUUUUCCUUCAAGUUAGGGUUUGGGAUUUGCCCUUAUACACUGUGUUCACAUUCUGAUUUGUGACAAAUUUGUAGACAAAUUCUUAUUUGGGUUUGGGAUUUGCCCUUAUUAGAUUGAUCUAUUGUCAAAUGUUCACAUUCUGAUUUAAUAGCCUUUAAUUUGUGACAAAUUUUUCCCAAUCUUGAAAAAUCCUAUUCAUACAUCCAUGCUGUUUUGUUUUUUGUAUAUUUAGAAUUACACUUUGGAUGAUGAAUUUGAAUUGGGAAUUGCAAAAAGGUAAAGGGAAAUUGAGAAAAAAUUUAACUUAUAUUUCAUUUAUAUUUGUCUCAUUUUCUCCUUCUAUUUAUUUUAUUUUUUCAAAUAUCUACCUAAAUUCAUAAUCUAAACACUAUCUCACUAUGAAAAUUUUUAUAAAAAUUGUGAAACAUUUUAUAUUUAUGGUGCAUCAGAGAGAGAGAGAGAACCAACCUUGUGAAAUAAGCUAUUGGAGCAAUAACUAGGGUAGCUAUGGCUUGCCUAUAGGCCACAAAAACCCUAGGGCUCAUUCCUUGCAAAAGAGCAUCUCUGGUUGUUAAAGAAACCCCUGCAUAGAUCACCUGCAGCCCAAACAUAACCAUUGCAGGCUUAUAAUCAUGUAAGUCAUCCAUUUUUUCCUUGCCAAAACCUUUGUGAGCAAUGUGACCAUAUAAGCAUUACUAUCACUUACAUAUAUAUAUAUAUAUAUAAGCUACCUUCCAAUACACACACACAAUGUGACCAUAUAAACUUUAGUUGUUGCUGAGUUGCAGUUGUGCUGCACAGCGUAGCGAAUCCUUUUCAAUUUCCAAAGCCCAAGUCUCAACCUUCUACCAUUGUUGAUAAAAAAAAUAUAGAAAGAACAUCGUUAGUUGAAUCUGUUGGUAUUUGUUAUGCAGAUAACAAAAUAGCUUUAACUUCUACUAAUAAUACGGACAUGAGAUUAAAGCCAAGGUAUUGUAAUUGUGGAAGAAUAGCUUCCAUGCGUAUUGUACAAAGCAAUGACAAUGGAAAUCAAGGACGUGUCUAUUUUGUUUGCCCAAGAAAAUAUACUAGGAACGAACACUACAAUUACUUCAGGUGGUUCGCAGAUGAUGACGACGACGACAUUACCUCCACAAUCCGUGCCACUGCUGCACCUCGGACAGAUUCAACAACAAAAGAAAUUAAUGAUCUAAGGAGAAGGGUUGGUGAGCAUGAUAGAAGGCUUCAAAUGAUGGAGAAAAUUUUCAAGGGAAUGACUUAUGUAAUUGUAUUUUUUUGUAUUUUUGUACUUUAUCAUGUAAAUGACUCAGUUGUUAGGUUUUGGAACAUGCUAUGACUGUAAUCUACUUUUCUACUUGUUUUGUAAUUUUUUUUCGGUGCUUAAAAAUCUGAUGGUUUGAAAAAACAAGUGUAUAACAGGUUUGUUUGAGAUGAAAUGUGUUGAAUGAA
This is a non-coding RNA of Camellia sinensis, 1897 nucleotides long. NCBI's taxonomy places the organism in Eukaryota, Viridiplantae, Streptophyta, Magnoliopsida, Ericales, Theaceae. The record is from RefSeq and is a predicted model, not a curated record.